GACGAACGCUGGCGGCGUGCUUAACACAUGCAAGUCGAACGGAAAGGCCCUGCUUUUGUGGGGUGCUCGAGUGGCGAACGGGUGAGUAACACGUGAGUAACCUGCCCUUGACUUUGGGAUAACUUCAGGAAACUGGGGCUAAUACCGGAUAGGAGCUCCUGCUGCAUGGUGGGGGUUGGAAAGUUUCGGCGGUUGGGGAUGGACUCGCGGCUUAUCAGCUUGUUGGUGGGGUAGUGGCUUACCAAGGCUUUGACGGGUAGCCGGCCUGAGAGGGUGACCGGCCACAUUGGGACUGAGAUACGGCCCAGACGCCUACGGGAGGCAGCAGUGGGGAAUAUUGCACAGUGAGCGGAAGCCUGAUGCAGCAACGCCGCGUGCGGGAUGACGGCCUUCGGGUUGUAAACCGCUUUCGCCUGUGACGAAGCGUGAGUGACGGUAAUGGAUAAAGAAGCACCGGCUAACUACGUG
This 468-nucleotide ribosomal RNA is filed under the name uncultured bacterium. RNAcentral describes it as "partial 16S ribosomal RNA". It matches the Rfam family "Bacterial small subunit ribosomal RNA", at positions 28 to 507 of the family's 1533-position model. The record is from RNAcentral.